RNAcentral lists this long non-coding RNA (2737 nucleotides) under Nilaparvata lugens (brown planthopper). RNAcentral's name for it is "uncharacterized LOC120354576". Lineage: Eukaryota; Metazoa; Arthropoda; Insecta; Hemiptera; Delphacidae. The record is from RNAcentral.
GGGCAUAUACCAAGGUACAGAUAGAACUAUUAUAGCCAGACAUGUAUUUUUUUGAAAGAAAGUGUUUUAUGGUUUGUUCCCUAGCCUAGCUCAAGCUCGCUAUAAAUAGAAAUUUAGUAAGCCCACAGGAAUCCAAAUGGAUGCCACACCCCACAUUUAAUUUAAUCAUUUUCAUUUCUUCAAAUUGAGGUUACGUACGUUGUAACUUGAUUACUUGAUUUUGAACGUGUUCCACUCAAGCCAGAGUCAAUACUACUGAUUAGGCAGUAGGCUACUGAGACUGAGUUUGCUGUUCUACCUGUUGAAUCGUUGAAUGCAAAUUUGAAUCUGUCCUGUAGCCGAAUUCAGUUGCUUGCAAAAUUACUGUACUGUACAUAACUUGACAAAGCAAGAAAUAUCUUUUACGUUAGUGCCAAAAAGUUUUAAAGAACUUACCAGCCAUGGAAGAGAGAUAUAAGCGUAUCAUCUAUAUGGUCAUCAUAGCUAUAGUGCUGUUCAUAGUGCUCAACUUCGUUUUGGGUUUGCUGUUUUCCUUCUCUGGCGUCAUCAUAAUCGCAGUAAUUGUCGUCAUUCUCUUCUUGUUUGGAGCUUCGUGGUGGAUGAAAGCAAAAGGAAUGCUGCAAAGUGAAGGAAUUGGAGGGGUGUAACCCAUUGUGUUGCUGCCAUCCAGUUGAAAUAAUUAUGACACAUCACCGUAUUCACUAACAUAAUUCACUAACAUCAUAUGGGUAAAUCCGUUUUAUUACAAGAAUCCUUCUUAUCCAAAACCAUUUUGAACACAUUAUGUACGUAUAGCCUAAUAAUGCUUUCCAUCACAUUCUUAUUCUAGAAAUGUGUAUAUUACAAAGUUUUAAUAAUUUAUUCUAUAUAGUUUGUUGGCUUAAUAACUUAAUUGAAUUGUAGAAAAAAAAUCUAUAGGUUAUAAUUAUGGUGUUUUUCAUGAAAAAAAUAAUUAUUGAAAUUUCAUGAUUGAUAAUGAUGAUCGAUCUGGAAAAGGAGUAGAACACUUUCUUGUGAUUAAACUGAUAACAUCCAUUAAUAUUUCAUGCUCUAAUUAUGCAUUUAAGAAUUAUCUGCUUAGAUAUUUUUAAUAUAGAGUUCAUAUAUCAGCAGCUAUUUUAAUAAUGAUAUAAAAGCGUAAAAGAUAAAUAUUUUUAUACUGAUACUCGUUCCGUUGAGUCAUCGUGAAGUCCCAAGUAUUAUUUGAAUAGUAGUGAAGUGAUAUAGUAUAGUAUACUAUUGAUCUAUAGUAUUAUUUGAUUGUGUAGAUCGAAUUGAGAGAAUCAUAAUGACUCAAUGUUUUGUUGCCAUCCAAUUAGCUUUAGUUGAAAUCUGUCUCAUAGUUGUCCACUAAAAUAUUGUUACUUGUUUUUGAGCAUCCAGGGACCAAAGUUCACCUUUUUCCUGUGAGGAAAACGUUUACACAAAAUGGAGUAGUUAUGGAAUAUUCGCCUUUGUUGCAAAAACACUUUUCCUCCAUCUAAAAUUGAUCUAUUGUUCCACCUAUCCUUCAUUAUGAUCAUUUGCACCAACAAAUCUAUCAAUAUGCUCCAAUAACUGACGCUAAACGGAUCGUGCUUUCAGUCUCAUUGAAAAAACCUUGUUUCUUUCAAAUUCUGUUGCAGAAAGUGAAAUACUACCUACUAUUAGAUACCUGUGGAAGAUGGAAAAAAUGUAUAAUGUCAUACCGUACUGUAUUAGUUUUUGUUCAAAGUGAGGAAGCUAUUGAAAUCUUUUAUUCUGGUGUUAUAACUUGAUAGGCCAUAGCAAUAUUGCGGAAAUACUGUAGAUACCUAUCAAAACAUCUUUAUAACAAAAUUAUUGCUAAACUUCAGUUAAAAAAAUAAUAAUUGUGUAACAUUGAUUCAAUAAUUGAAUAAUAAGUAAUAAAUAUACUCAUAGAUAAUUGAUAAAUUAUUAGUCUAGUGAAGUCCUCUGCUGAGGAAUCUGAAAUCAAUUUUAAAACUAAAAGUACCUUACUGCCCAGUGAAGUUAUUACUCUCAUUAUUUUUAAGGCAAUCCGAAUUAUAAGACUAUAAUCUAUUUUAAGAUGAAAAUAAUAUAAAAAAAGAUAUUGAUACUAGGGAACUCUGGAUAAGACUGGAAAAUGCCAAAUAAACAGCAUGAACUUGUUAAACUGUGCAUAUUGAAUUUUAACUACGUUAUAACAGCAUAUUGUUUUUAUUUUUAAUCAAAGAAAUUAAAAUAAAAUUUAAUAUUUCUAGAGCGUUUCAAAGUUAUAUUCGUUUCCUUUUUCCUCUGUUAUCAUUCUGAUUAUACUAAAUUUAGAUUUAGGUAUGAAAAAUGACGGAUUCGUUUGAAUUUGGCAGAUAAGACAAUGUGGCCAGUUGGAUAUUCCAAUUGCAGCAGGCUAAUCAUUGAAUUAUUCAACAAACUUGGUUGAAAAUUAUUCUUUAACUAUAGACGUGUUGAAAUUAUGAACCGUUAUUAUCAAUACCGUACUGUAAAUAUAACAUGAUUACUUAUUUACAAUUAAAUGUUUCACGUGUUAGUCCAUAGUGCACCCAAAAAUUGAAAACCCGGUAUUCUAUUAAUGGAAGCAUACUGAUCAUCCAAUUUGAUUUUUUUGUUUUUAUGUUUUGACACCGCCAAUUACUCAUUUCUGAUGUUUGGGAGCUUCUGCGCAUUCUACGGUAUCUUCAAUUAUCUACUGAAGGAUGCAAGGGAUCUUGAUAACAAAAUGUUAAUUUUAUAUUUUUUGGUUGUGUUGACAAAA